AUUGAACGCUGGCGGCAUGCCUUACACAUGCAAGUCGAACGGUAACAGGUCUUCGGAUGCUGACGAGUGGCGAACGGGUGAGUAAUACAUCGGAACGUGCCCGAUCGUGGGGGAUAACGCAGCGAAAGCUGUGCUAAUACCGCAUACGAUCUACGGAUGAAAGCGGGGGGAUCGCAAGACCUCGCGCGGACGGAGCGGCCGAUGGCAGAUUAGGUAGUUGGUGGGAUAAAAGCUUACCAAGCCGACGAUCUGUAGCUGGUCUGAGAGGACGACCAGCCACACUGGGACUGAGACACGGCCCAGACUCCUACGGGAGGCAGCAGUGGGGAAUUUUGGACAAUGGGCGAAAGCCUGAUCCAGCCAUGCCGCGUGCAGGAUGAAGGCCUCGGUUGUAAC
This 396-nucleotide ribosomal RNA is filed under the name uncultured bacterium. Its description in RNAcentral is "bacterial SSU rRNA". It matches the Rfam family "Bacterial small subunit ribosomal RNA", at positions 30 to 429 of the family's 1533-position model. The record is from RNAcentral.